AGCGCGAUAGAGCAGUUGGCAGCUCGUCGGGUUAAUUCCCCAAAGAUCGUGGGUUCAAAUCCCACUCCUGCAA
RNAcentral lists this transfer RNA (73 nucleotides) under Caudoviricetes sp. RNAcentral describes it as "tRNA-Ile". It matches the Rfam family "tRNA". Rfam says of the family: Transfer RNA (tRNA) molecules are approximately 80 nucleotides in length. Their secondary structure includes four short double-helical elements and three loops (D, anti-codon, and T loops). Lineage: Duplodnaviria; Heunggongvirae; Uroviricota; Caudoviricetes. The record is from RNAcentral.